AUGAGCAGAGCCUCUGUUUCUAAAUAUCCCGUCGAUACUCCAGACCGUUCCCUCCCCUUGCUCCCGUGCCGCUCGCUGAGCGGCACCGGGGCGCCCCCGAUCCCCAUUCCAGCUCCUCCCUCCCCUCCUCCUACCCUCCUCGCCGCGGCACGUGGUCGCGGAUCUGGGCUUUGGCACGCAGUAGUCUCCCCCAGAUGCUAUGGCGCCUCUGGCGGCGUGGCCGUGGCUCAUCAGCGUCUCCGGUCUGCUUCCCCUAGUGCGGCAACUCGGCUGUUUGAGGAGCUGCGGUGGUCUGCAGUUGCGGCGUCGCCGACGUGCUUCGGCCACCGGCGGUGCGCUCCAGUUGUGCUGCUCAGCGCCCUCCUGUUGGCUGGCUCGGGCCGGCCGUGGGGCUCCGAGGCGGCUUCCGACGAGCCUGGCUCUGUUGAGCUCCAGAUCUGGCGCCUGCAGACAAGUAGGGCCGAUGGGCUUUGGCGGGCCUCAUCCGUUCGUUGGCUUCUGGCGGCUGGGUUGCGGCGAGAGGCUAGAUGGUGA
This 534-nucleotide ribosomal RNA is filed under the name Triticum aestivum (bread wheat). RNAcentral describes it as "partial small subunit ribosomal RNA". Lineage: Eukaryota; Viridiplantae; Streptophyta; Magnoliopsida; Poales; Poaceae. The record is from RNAcentral.